Molecule: ribosomal RNA, 751 nt
Filed under: uncultured archaeon
Lineage: Archaea
Description: bacterial SSU rRNA
Rfam family: Archaeal small subunit ribosomal RNA
Source: RNAcentral
UUGAUCCUGCCGGACCCGACUGCUAUCAGAGUGAGAUUAAGCCAUGCGAGUCAACGUAGCAAUACGUGGCACACGGCUCAGUAACACGUAGUCAACAUAACCAAAGGACGUGGAUAAACUCGGGAAACUGAGGCUAAACCGCGAUAGAUCAAGAUAUCUGGAGUGGUUUUUGAUCAAAAUCUAUAUGGCCUUUGGAUUGGACUGCGUCCGAUCAGGCUGUUGGUGAGGUAAUGGCCCACCAAACCUGUAACCGGUACGGGCUCUGAGAGGAGGAGCCCGGAGAUGGGUACUGAGACAAGGACCCAGGCCCUAUGGGGCGCAGCAGGCGCGAAACCUCUGCAAUAGGCGAAAGCCUGACAGGGUUACUCUGAGUGACUUUCGCUAAGAAAGUCUUUUGACACCUCUAAAAAUGGUGUAGAAUAAGGGGUGGGCAAGUCUGGUGUCAGCCGCCGCGGUAAUACCAGCACCCCGAGUGGUCGGGACGAUUAUUGGGCCUAAAGCAUCCGUAGCCGGUUUUACAAGUCCUCCGUUAAAUCCAGCUGCUUAACAGAUGGGCUGCGGAGGAUACUAUAAGACUAGGAGGCAGGAGAGGCAAGCGGUACUCAGUGGGUAGGGGUAAAAUCCGUUGAUCCAUUGAAGACCACCAGUGGCGAAGGCGGCUUGCCAGAAUGCGCUCGACGGUGAGGGAUGAAAGCUGGGGGAGCAAACCGGAUUAGAUACCCGGGUAGUCCCAGCUGUAAACGAUGCAGAC